This 253-nucleotide ribosomal RNA is filed under the name uncultured bacterium. RNAcentral's name for it is "partial 16S ribosomal RNA". It matches the Rfam family "Archaeal small subunit ribosomal RNA", at positions 474 to 727 of the family's 1478-position model. The record is from RNAcentral.
UACCCGCAGCACAAGUGGUGGUCAUUAUUAUUGGGCCUAAAGCGUCCGUAGCUGGCGUGUUAGAUGCCUGGGUAAAUCGAUGCGCUUAACGUAUCGAAUUCCGGGUAGACCGGCACGCUCGAGACCGGGAGAGGUGUAGGGUACUCGGGGGGUAGGGGUAAAAUCCUGUAAUCCUCCGGGGACGACCAGUGGCGAAGGCGCUACACUAGAACGGCUCUGACAGUGAGGGACGAAGCCCUGGGGCGCAAACCGG